CGGCGUACGGGUGCGGAACACGUGUGCAACUUGCCUUUAUCUUGGGGGAUAGCCUUUCGAAAGGAAGAUUAAUACCCCAUAAUAUGUUGAAUUGGCAUCAUUCGACAUUGAAAACUCCGGUGGAUAGAGAUGGGCACGCGCAAGAUUAGAUAGUUGGUGAGGUAACGGCUCACCAAGUCUACGAUCUUUAGGGGGCCUGAGAGGGUGAUCCCCCACACUGGUACUGAGACACGGACCAGACUCCUACGGGAGGCAGCAGUGAGGAAUAUUUGGACAAUGGGUGAGAGCCUGAUCCAGCCAUCCCGCGUGAAGGACGAUUGCCCUAUGGGUUGUAAACUUCUUUUGUAUAGGGAUAAACCUACCCUCGUGAGGGUAGCUGAAGGUGCUAUACGAAUAAGCACCGGCUAACUCCGUGCCAGCAGCCGCGGUAAUACGGAGGGUGCAAGCGUUAUCCGGAUUUAUUGGGUUUAGAGGGUCCGUAGGCGGAUCUGUAAGUCAGUGGUGAAAUCUCACAGCUUAACUGUGAAACUGCCAUUGAUACUGCAGGUCUUGAGUGUUGUUGAAGUAGCUGGAAUAAGUAGUGUAGCGGUGAAAUGCAUA
RNAcentral lists this ribosomal RNA (600 nucleotides) under uncultured bacterium. RNAcentral describes it as "bacterial SSU rRNA". It matches the Rfam family "Bacterial small subunit ribosomal RNA", at positions 96 to 692 of the family's 1533-position model. The record is from RNAcentral.